Molecule: ribosomal RNA, 515 nt
Filed under: uncultured bacterium
Lineage: Bacteria
Description: partial 16S ribosomal RNA
Rfam family: Bacterial small subunit ribosomal RNA
Source: RNAcentral
GAUGAACGCUGGCGGCGUGCCUAAUACAUGCAAGUCGAGCGAAUGGAUUAAGAGCUUGCUCUUAUGAAGUUAGCGGCGGACGGGUGAGUAACACGUGGGUAACCUGCCCAUAAGACUGGGAUAACUCCGGGAAACCGGGGCUGAUACCGGAUAACAUUUUGAACCGCAUGGUUCGAAAUUGAAAGGCGGCUUCGGCUGUCACUUAUGGAUGGACCCGCGUCGCAUUAGCUAGUUGGUGAGGUAACGGCUCACCAAGGCAACGAUGCGUAGCCGACCUGAGAGGGUGAGCGGCCACACUGGGACUGAGGCACGGCCCAGACUCCUACGGGAGGCAGCAGUAGGGAAUCUUCCGCAAUGGACGAAAGUCUGACGGAGCAACGCCGCGUGAGUGAUGAAGGCUUUCGGGUCGUAAAACUCUGUUGUUAGGGAAGAACAAGUGCUAGUUGAAUAAGCUGGCACCUUGACGGUACCUAACCAGAAAGCCACGGCUAACUACGUGCCAGCCGCCGCUGUAA